GCAGGCUGAGAGUCGCAGAUGCCAACAGACUUAAUAAACUAAUCCAUAAGGCCAGCAAUGUUGUGGGGAUGGAGCUGGACUCCCUCAAGGUGGUGUCGGAGAGGCAGAUGCUGUCCAAGAUAAAGACAAUGUUGGAUAACACCUCCCACCCACUCCAUGACAUGCUGGUCAGUCACAGGAGCUCGUUCAGUGAGAGACUGAGAUUACCGAAAAGCACCACUGAACGACACAGAAAUCGUUCCUGCCUGUGGCCAUCUCCCUGUACAACGCAUCCACUUAACACACUGUUUGCUACUACAGCUACACAUGUUUCUUUUCCAACUAUUUAUUUAUGAGUGACUUAUGUAUGUAUGUAUGUAUAUAUAUGUAUAUAUUAUACUAUUCUUAGUUAGUGUAUUGUCUGUCUUGUCUUAAUGUUGGUUUAAAAUGGAGCACUGUAACAAUAAAUAAUUUCCCCCAGGGAUCAAUAAAGUAUUCUGAUUCUGAUUCUUUAGGGUUUGUUUUGUUCUCCAACUGCUAAUUUUCCAGAAAUUUUGGAGCAUUUUUUAAGGUCCCCCCAUGAAACUUUUUUUUCCCCAUUUUGUUAGAUAUGGCACAGCUGAAAAUAAAAGAAAACCACUCUAAUUUGUCAUGUGUUGUUAUAUAUUUUAUAUAUUUUGAUGACAAGUACUUUUUGUUAUAUUGGGUAAAAAUCACCCGGCGUUAGUGAUGGUGUUACUAUUUUUAGCGAUAGUGUUCUAGGGUUAAAUGUACCUAAACACUUUGUAGUUCUUUAUGGAAUUAUAGGAACUUUUUAAGUAUGUUUGGCUAUAAUUUGUUGAGUGCUCUAGCAUUUCACAAACAAUCUUGUCAUAUGCUGUGGGAGUGUCUGGUUGGGUGUGGUCCAGGUUCCUGUCAUUUGUCCCUGGGAGUGGAGUUGGCCAGCUCAUCACCUGUUGUCAAUCUCCGGGGCUCCACCUAGAGGGUUUUUAAGCCAGCACGGCCUGCCACUCCUCGCCAGUUUGUCCUGCUACCAUCUGUGAUUCUCCACCCAUCGCACUCACCAGUAGUGCUGUUUUUGGUCUCCAUCCUGUCCUCCCAUCUGCUCGGAGCCCGAGGAUUAUAUACUCCACUUCUCCUCAGCCUGCCCUUCAGUCUGUAUUCUCCAUCUCUUCGAAAUCUGGACCGGACUCUCCACUCUUGACCCUCUUUGGAAUAUACCCCUGGCAGCCUUUUCCCCGUUAAAUGACUAGGGUCGCCAAGUAAGCCCAAGACUAUUCACUGGCACUCCGUACCUUUGUCCCUUACUCGUUUGUUUCCC
Molecule: long non-coding RNA, 1300 nt
Organism: Astatotilapia calliptera (eastern happy)
Lineage: Eukaryota; Metazoa; Chordata; Actinopteri; Cichliformes; Cichlidae
Source: Ensembl